AACCAUAGAAACCUGCGGAGUACCUGCGGAAGGAUCAUUACCGAGUUUACAACUCCCAAACCCCUGUGAACAUACCUAUACGUUGCCUCGGCGGAUCAGCCCGCGCCCUGUAAAAAGGGACGGCCCGCCCGAGGACCCCUAAACUCUGUUUUUAGUGGAACUUCUGAGUAAAACAAACAAAUAAAUCAAAACUUUUAACAAUGGAUCU
RNAcentral lists this unclassified non-coding RNA (208 nucleotides) under soil metagenome. Its description in RNAcentral is "partial contains 5.8S ribosomal RNA, internal transcribed spacer 2, and large subunit ribosomal RNA". The record is from RNAcentral.